This 152-nucleotide ribosomal RNA is filed under the name Vibrio parahaemolyticus. RNAcentral's name for it is "partial 16S ribosomal RNA". It matches the Rfam family "Bacterial small subunit ribosomal RNA", at positions 1 to 133 of the family's 1533-position model. The record is from RNAcentral. Lineage: Bacteria; Pseudomonadati; Pseudomonadota; Gammaproteobacteria; Vibrionales; Vibrionaceae.
UUAAAUUGAAGAGUUUGAUCAUGGCUCAGAUUGAACGCUGGCGGCAGGCCUAACACAUGCAAGUCGAGCGGAAACGAGUUAUCAGAACCUUCGGGGAACGAUAGCGGCGUCGAGCGGCGGACGGGUGAGUAAUGCCUAGGAAAUUGCCCUGA